AUGGCGGAGGAACCGACCUCCAAGCGUCAUCAUGGCGAGACAUCUGACAAGAGCUGCAACCUCUACAACGUUCAUGUCCCCGGCGAGAAGUGCACGUACACCAAAACACUCAAAGGGAUUGAGCUCCAUGGCAACGAGACGCUGGAGAUCGUCUACACGAGCGAACCAGACAAGGCCGACGAGAUGAUCACCAUGCUCUAG
Molecule: ribosomal RNA, 201 nt
Filed under: Triticum aestivum (bread wheat)
Lineage: Eukaryota; Viridiplantae; Streptophyta; Magnoliopsida; Poales; Poaceae
Description: partial small subunit ribosomal RNA
Source: RNAcentral